UAGGGAAUCUUCCGCAAUGGACGAAAGUCUGACGGAGCGACGCCGCGUGAGUGAUGAAGGUCUUCGGAUCGUAAAACUCUGUUGUUAGGGAAGAACAAGUAUAAGGCGAAUAACCUUAUACCUUGACGGUACCUAACCAGAAAGCCCCGGCUAACUACGUG
Molecule: ribosomal RNA, 161 nt
Filed under: uncultured bacterium
Lineage: Bacteria
Description: partial 16S rRNA
Rfam family: Bacterial small subunit ribosomal RNA
Source: RNAcentral